This 1379-nucleotide long non-coding RNA is filed under the name Zonotrichia albicollis (white-throated sparrow). RNAcentral describes it as "lncRNA (ENSZALG00000003154.1)". Lineage: Eukaryota; Metazoa; Chordata; Aves; Passeriformes; Passerellidae. The record is from RNAcentral.
AAAUUGGGGGAAAAUCUUGGGGAAAAAAAAAAAGGAAAAUUCCCGAAAAACCCCUGGGUGUCGUUGCAGGUGCGGCCGGAACUGGCGGGACCAAGUGUGACACGGAGGGGACACCUGAGUGUGUGACACACCUGGGACACACCUGGGACACACCUGAGUGUGAGUGUGACACACCUGGGUGUGUGUGACACACCUAUGACACACCUGAGUGUGUGUGUGACACACCUAUGACACACCUGAGUGUGUGUGUGACACACCUGGGACACACUUGAGUGUGUGUGUGACACACCUGGGACACACUUGAGUGUGUGUGUGACACACCUGAGUGUGUGUGACACACCUGGGACACACCCGUGACCCCUCUGUGUGAGUGUGACAUCAUGACACGCCUGUGACACACCUGUGAGCUUGUGUGUGACACACCUGUGUGUGACACCUGUGUGUGUGUGACGCACCAGGCACACCUGGAUGAGUGUGGCACCCGUCCCUGACUGUGUCACCUGUGUCCCCAGGUGUCACACCUGGCCCUGGGUGUGUCCCAGGUGUCUCUGAGUGUGUCACACCUGUCCUUGAGUGGGUGACACCUGUCUGUCUGUGUCACACCUGCCCAGGAGUGUCACAGGUGUCUCUGACAAUGUCACCUGUGUCCCCAAGUGUGUCCCACCUGUCCCUGACAGUGUCACACCUAUCCCUGGGUGUGUCCCACCUAUCCCUGGGUGUGUCCCACAUGUCCCUGGGUGUGUCACACCUGCCCAUGUCCCACCUGUCCCCAGGUGUGUCCCACAUGUCCCUCGGUGUGUCCCAGGUGUCCCUGACAGUGUCACACCUGUCCCCAGCUGUGUCACACCCGCCCAUGUCCCACCUGUCUCCAGGUGUCUCACACAUGUCCCUGGGUGUGUCCCAGGUGUCCCCGGGUGUGUUCCAGGUGUCCCUGACAGUGUCCCAUCUGUCCCCAGGUGUGUCCCACCUGUCCUUGGGUGUGUCCCAGGUGUCCCUGGGUGUGUCCCACCUGUCCCUGGGUGUGUCCCCGGGUGUGUCCCAGGUGUCUCUGAUGUGUCCCACCUGUCCCCGGGUGUGUCCCAUCUGUCCCCAGGUGUGUCCCACAUGUCCCUGUGUCCCACCUGUCCCUGAGUGUGUCCCAGGUGUCCCUGACAGUGUCACACCUGUCCCCAGGAGUGUCACAUCUGUCCAUGUCCCUGUGUCCCACCUGUCCUUGGGUGUGUCAUAGGUGUCCCUGACAGUGUCACAACCGUCCGUGUCCCAUCUGUCCCCAGGUGUGUCCCACCUGUCCUUGGGUGUGUCCCUGACAGUGUGCCACCUGUCCCUGGGUGUGUCCCAGGUGUCCCUGACAGUGUCACACCCGUCCCUGUCCCACCUGU